Molecule: ribosomal RNA, 549 nt
Filed under: Boana geographica A
Lineage: Eukaryota; Metazoa; Chordata; Amphibia; Anura; Hylidae
Description: partial 16S ribosomal RNA
Rfam family: Bacterial large subunit ribosomal RNA
Source: RNAcentral
AUAAGAGGUCCAGCCUGCCCAGUGAAAUUAUUCAACGGCCGCGGUAUCCUAACCGUGCGAAGGUAGCGUAAUCACUUGUUCUUUAAAUGAGGACUAGUAUGAAUGGCAUCACGAGGGUUUUACUGUCUCCUUUUUUAAAUCAGUGAAACUAAUCUCCCCGUGAAGAAGCGGGGAUUUUGUUAUAAGACGAGAAGACCCUAUGGAGCUUAAAACAAACAACAUUUGCUGCACAUAAUACUUUUAUCUUCAAGAAGUAUAGCAUUAUGAUAUUUAGUUUUUGAUUGGGGUGAUCACGGAGCAAAAUAAAACCUCCACGCCGAAAGGGUUUAUACCCUGAGCAAAAAGCUACAGCUUUAAGCACUAAAAAAUUAACGUAUUUGACCCAAUAUUUUGAUCAACGAACCAAGUUACCCUAGGGAUAACAGCGCAAUCCACUUCAAGAGCUCCUAUCGACAAGUGGGUUUACGACCUCGAUGUUGGAUCAGGGUGUCCUAGUGGUGCAGCCGCUACUAAUGGUUCGUUUGUUCAACGAUUAAAACCCUACGUGAU